GCCCCAGCCCUGGCAGCGCAGCACUUACCUAGUCUGCCCAGGGGCCUCCACACUGGUUUCCUCAGACAUGCUGCGGGGCCUUGUUUUUCCAGCUGAAGGAUCAGGAGGAAUUUGGCUUUGCACUUUUCUCUCUGUCUCUCCCUAGCUCUGAUCCUGCUGCCCAUCCCCACAGGAUCUGAGUGCCUCCCCCGUGAAUUAGACUGGCCUAGGGAGGUUUCUGGCAGACUUCAUUUCUACAUCCCCUGGGUUGGAGACGUCGUGGGACGUAUCUUAAUCUGGCUGGACAACGUCUGUCAUCCCAGAGCCAGAAAAGCAGCACUGAGGGCCACGGCCUUGCUGGCUCGUUCCCACCCCCAGGACGUGGUUCUGAGCUGUGUGGCACACACGCUGUCCUCGGACAGAUGUGCCAUUGAGCUGUGGAAGGCCCUGGGAAGA
Mauremys reevesii (Reeves's turtle) is the source of this 435-nucleotide long non-coding RNA. RefSeq lists it as uncharacterized. The record is from RefSeq and is a predicted model, not a curated record. The transcript is spliced from 3 exons. Lineage: Eukaryota; Metazoa; Chordata; Testudines; Geoemydidae.